AAAAACAUUCAAUUCUAUUCAAUAUUCCAUUCACUAAGGACGAGAGACUAGUGUACACAUGACAUUCGAUAAUUAAAGAGUUUUAACAACUUCACUGUCUUUCAUCUACAGAUAAUGUUGUUUAUUAUUUUUUUUUAAUAAAAAAAAAUAUUUGUGAAAAAAUUAUGUGUAGGCACGUGCCUUAAGUGGCUAACGGCAGCUACGCCCCUG
Molecule: long non-coding RNA, 210 nt
Filed under: Mytilus galloprovincialis (Mediterranean mussel)
Lineage: Eukaryota; Metazoa; Mollusca; Bivalvia; Mytilida; Mytilidae
Source: RNAcentral